GGCCAGACUCCUACGGGAGGCAGCAGUGGGGGAUAUUGCACAAUGGGGGGAACCCUGAUGCAGCGACGCCGCGUGGGUGAAGGAGCGUUUCGGCGCGUAAAGCCCUAUCGGCAGGGAAGAAGGAGGACGGUACCUGACUAAGAAGCCCCGACUAACUACGUGCCAGCAGCCGCGGUAAUACGUAGGGGGCAAGCGUUAUCCGGAUUUACUGGGUGUAAAGGGGGCGCAGACGGCAGCGCAAGCCAGGAGUGAAAGCCCGGGGCCCAACCCCGGGACUGCUCUUGGAACUGCGCGGCUGGAAUGCAGGAGGGGCAGGCGGAAUUCCUGGUGUAGCGGUGAAAUGCGUAGAUAUCAGGAGGAACACCGGUGGCGAAGGCGGCCUGCUGGACUGCGACUGACGUUGAGGCCCGAAAGCGUGGGGAGCAAACAGGAUUAGAUACCCGCGUACC
RNAcentral lists this ribosomal RNA (449 nucleotides) under uncultured bacterium. RNAcentral's name for it is "partial 16S ribosomal RNA". It matches the Rfam family "Bacterial small subunit ribosomal RNA", at positions 329 to 794 of the family's 1533-position model. The record is from RNAcentral.